CUGUCAAAUGGUUACUGAGGUUUCUAAAUGUUAUUCUCAGUUGCUAUGCACAUCUCAUGGCGGAAUGUAACAAACAGUUCUUGAACCUGGGAAGGAACUUUGAGGAGCACAGGAGCAGGCCUUGCAAUCCGGAGGCUUAAGAGCCAAAUUGAGGUCCCAUGUCUAUGUAGGUUGGCCUGAAUAGGCGUCUUUUAAAAAUUGGAUUAAAAAAACCCAGAGAUUUCACGUAAAAAUCCAAUUUUUCCUGAAGAGUAAACAGCUUUGGGCAACACAAGCCACAUCAGCAACCGGGUGGAGCAAGCAGCUGCCUCCUCUAAGCCAGCACAGCUCACUGCUGCCCACAGCUCUAACCUCUUCCGGUCCUCUCACUCCCCCAGCACAACAGAGUUGGCCUGGAUUUACCCGUUACUGUAAGGAAUGCGUGUGAUCACAACCGCCAUGACCAACCUCCAUCACAUGCCGGACCAUCAGGCUGCCUGACCCUGUAACCCUCCAUACCACAAUGCCAGCCCCUGAAAUAAAAGCUCAAUAAAAUAACACUUUCCAU
Molecule: non-coding RNA, 547 nt
Organism: Oryctolagus cuniculus (rabbit)
Lineage: Eukaryota; Metazoa; Chordata; Mammalia; Lagomorpha; Leporidae
Source: RefSeq, a predicted model, not a curated record